Molecule: long non-coding RNA, 376 nt
Organism: Homo sapiens (human)
Lineage: Eukaryota; Metazoa; Chordata; Mammalia; Primates; Hominidae
Gene: GUCY1B2
Product: guanylate cyclase 1 soluble subunit beta 2 (pseudogene)
Source: Ensembl
GGCCGAAUAGGAACAGCUCCGGUCUACAGCUCCCAGCGUGAGCGACGCAGAAGACGGGUGAUUUCUGCAUUUCCAUCUGAGUAUGGAUUUAUCAACACCUGUCUGCAAUCUCUUGUGAUAGAGAAAUUUGGUGAAGAAACAUGGGAAAAAUUGAAAAGCAAGUGCUCAGGGAAAUGAAGACAGGAGAACUGCUGCCGUCAUGAGCUAUGCCGACAGUCAGCAGCUGAUCCCCGACAGAAACGCAGCAGAUGCAGACGCUCCUGAUGAAAUCAUCCCUGUGGGGAGUGCAGGGCCAGAUGGGGACUCCAUGGAGACAGCCGACCGGCGACAGCCUUCAGCUCCGACAAAGACACAUCACCUUGCAAAUGACACUUUG